CCCUCAGUAGCUCAGUGGUAGAGCGGUCAGCUGUUAACUGACUGGUCGUAGGUUCGAGACCUGCCUGGGGAG
RNAcentral lists this transfer RNA (72 nucleotides) under Acer yangbiense. It matches the Rfam family "tRNA". Rfam says of the family: Transfer RNA (tRNA) molecules are approximately 80 nucleotides in length. Their secondary structure includes four short double-helical elements and three loops (D, anti-codon, and T loops). Lineage: Eukaryota; Viridiplantae; Streptophyta; Magnoliopsida; Sapindales; Sapindaceae. The record is from Rfam by way of RNAcentral.